Molecule: long non-coding RNA, 1317 nt
Filed under: Phasianus colchicus (ring-necked pheasant)
Lineage: Eukaryota; Metazoa; Chordata; Aves; Galliformes; Phasianidae
Description: lncRNA (ENSPCLG00000017425.1)
Source: RNAcentral
ACCCUAUUGACCCCAUUGGAUCCUAUUGACCCCAUUGGGACACACCACGACCCCACUGACCCCAUUGGGAUGCACCACGACCCCACUGACCCCAUUGGGUUCCAUUGGCCCCAUUGAGUCCCACCACCACCCCGCUGAUCCCAUUGGGUCCUAUUGACCCCACUGGGACCCACCACAACCCCAUUGACCCCAUUGGGACACACCACGACCCCAUUGACCCGAUUGGGUCCUAUUGACCCCAUUGGGACACACCAUGACCCUAUUGACCCCAUUGGAUCCGAUUGACCCCAUUGGGACACACCAUGAACCCACUGACCCCAUUGGAUCCUAUUGACACCAUUGGGACACACCAUGACCCCAUUGACCCCUUUGGGUCCUAUUGACCCCAUUGGGACACACCACGACCCCAUUGACCCCAUUGGGUCCUAUUGACCCCAUUGGGACACACCACGACUCCAUUGACCCCAUUGGGUCCCACCACGAUCCCAUUGACCCCAAUGGGUCCCAUUGACCCCAUAGUGCCCCACUGACCCCACUGAGUCCCUCCACGACCCCAUUGACCCCAUUGUCUUCCAUUGAACCCAUUGGGACCCACCACAACCCCAUUGACCCCAUUGGGAUGCACCAUGACCCCAUUGACCCCAUUGGGUCCUAUUGACCCCAUUGGGACGCACCACGACCCCAUUGACCCCAUGAUGCCCCACUGACCCCAUGGUGCCCCGCUGACCCCAUAAGUGCCCCAUUGACCCCAUUGAAUCCCACCACCACCCCNNNNNCUGGGACCCACCACGACCCCAUUGACCCCAUUGGGUCCUAUUGACCCCAUUGGGACACACCACGACCCCACUGACCCCAUUGGGUCCUAUUGACCCCAUUGGGACGCACCACGACCCCAUUGACCCCAUGAUGCCCCAGUGACCCCAUGGUGCCCCCGCUGACCCCAUAAGUGCCCCCGCAGGCCAAAGGGAUUUACGAGAAGGUGGGGGAGGCGACGGAGACGGCGCUGACGUGUUUGGUGGAGAAGAUGAACGUCUUCAACACCGACGUGCGGAGCCUCUCCAAAGUGGAGCGCGCCAACGCCUGCAACUCCGUCAGUGCCCCAUGCAUCCCAUAAUGUCCCUCGUGUCCCUUGUACCCCUCUAUAGCCCCAUGCGGCCCCAUAGAUCCCCUUAUAUCCCUUGUAUCCCCGUACGGCCCCAUAGAUCCCCUUAUAUCCCCUUGUAACCCCAUAUGGCCCCAUACGGCCCCAUAGAUCCCGUUAUAUCCCUUAUAUCCAUUUAUAUCCCAUUAUAUCCCCAUAUGGCCCCAUAGAUCCUG